This 480-nucleotide ribosomal RNA is filed under the name uncultured bacterium. RNAcentral's name for it is "partial 16S ribosomal RNA". It matches the Rfam family "Bacterial small subunit ribosomal RNA", at positions 28 to 523 of the family's 1533-position model. The record is from RNAcentral.
GACGAACGCUGGCGGCGUGCCUAACACAUGCAAGUCGAGCGAGUGGAUCUCCUUCGGGAGUGAAGCUAGCGGCGGACGGGUGAGUAACACGUGGGCAACCUGCCUCAUAGAGGGGAAUAGCCUUUCGAAAGGAAGAUUAAUACCGCAUAAGAUUGUAGCUUCGCAUGAAGUAGCAAUUAAAGGAGCAAUCCGCUAUGAGAUGGGCCCGCGGCGCAUUAGCUAGUUGGUGAGGUAACGGCUCACCAAGGCGACGAUGCGUAGCCGACCUGAGAGGGUGAUCGGCCACAGUGGGACUGAGACACGGCCCAGACUCCUACGGGAGGCAGCAGUGGGGAAUAUUGCACAAUGGGGGAAACCCUGAUGCAGCAACGCCGCGUGAGUGAUGACGGCCUUCGGGUUGUAAAGCUCUGUCUUCAGGGACGAUAAUGACGGUACCUGAGGAGGAAGCCACGGCUAACUACGUGCCAGCAGCAGCCGCAG